AUGCAUCAAGAAUGAGCUAUGACUUUUCCUAGACUGCAACUAUUGCCCAAACAGAAAAAGGUGAAGAAAAGAGACAAUGAAAAUUAUGUAGAUUCUUGCACAUGAAAUUAAUUUUACGAUUCAGCACCCGAAAAAGGCCUAACCAGGGAUAUAAAACAUUUAAACAAAUAUUAUAUGACAUCUAUAAUGUCUAAAUUUAACAUUUGAU
RNAcentral lists this unclassified non-coding RNA (208 nucleotides) under Hevea brasiliensis (rubber tree). The record is from RNAcentral. Lineage: Eukaryota; Viridiplantae; Streptophyta; Magnoliopsida; Malpighiales; Euphorbiaceae.